This 23-nucleotide ribosomal RNA is filed under the name Phytophthora citrophthora. RNAcentral's name for it is "partial 28S ribosomal RNA". The record is from RNAcentral. Lineage: Eukaryota; Oomycota; Peronosporomycetes; Peronosporales; Peronosporaceae.
UUGGACCUGAUAUCAGGCAAAGA